Molecule: small nuclear RNA, 114 nt
Organism: Solanum dulcamara
Lineage: Eukaryota; Viridiplantae; Streptophyta; Magnoliopsida; Solanales; Solanaceae
Product: U5 spliceosomal RNA
Exons: 1
Source: RefSeq, a predicted model, not a curated record
AGCCCCGCAAUGAGCACAUAGUGAACUAUUCUUAGCCUUUUACUAAAGAAUACCGUGUGCACAUUGCAAAUAGUGGCAUAUGUCAAUUUUCGUAAAUGGUAUCUAAAUACCCUC